CAUACACAAACAAACACACACAGACUUUGGGUCCUUUAAAUGAUCUGUACUGAUGGUCUAAGACAUGAAACAGGUGAUGGAGGAGGUAGUGGUGGGUGUGUCCUCACAUCUCACAGUCUUCUCUCCCAUCAGAAAAUCCAUCAGAAAAUAUCCUGAUUACAAACUAAGGAGUGGGAGUGUUGAUCCGUGUGCCUUGGUGUCUGAGUAAAAUGCAUUAUGUGCAUCUUAAUAUCUGAAUAAUUCUUUUAACAUCAGGAGAUAUACUGUGUCAGGUUUUUGUGGGACAUUGGUUCAGUCACUUUCUGGCCGCACCUCAUUUUAAGACCAAUAAGCCCCUGGGUGCACUGAGUACCUCAAGUACAUUUGCUUCUGGUGCUAAGCGUGAAAAUGAUGACUUCAUCGGUCAGAAACUAGCAAUGACUGUUUUUAAAAUCUGCCAUUUAUAUUAACCCUGAACUCCUUCCAACAAGUCAGGUUGUAUACAUGCUGACUCUGCUGAACACAUUUCUUAACCUACAGUUAUAUUUGGGGCGUCCAAAAUAUGUGUGAGAGGCAUGUCUCUCAGUGAAACUGGAAUUUCUACUCAGGGAUUAAAAAAAAUUCUUCGUUUAACUCCAGACCAAGUAGGUUAAAAAUGUUGGGCCCCUAUGGACAUGUUCUUGUGGCAGUGGCCAACAAAGGACCCUGUGAUUCUGAUCUUAGCAAACCACUUCAUUGUCUUUUGUCUGUUCUCUACCUGACAUGUUUUAAUCAUGCAAACUUUACCUCUACAAUCUCUAGAAAAACACUGACCAUGACAGAGGAAAUCAACCCAGAGUGUUGUCUGAUUGUAA
This is a long non-coding RNA of Labrus mixtus (cuckoo wrasse), 833 nucleotides long. RefSeq lists it as uncharacterized. NCBI's taxonomy places the organism in Eukaryota, Metazoa, Chordata, Actinopteri, Labriformes, Labridae. The transcript is spliced from 2 exons. The record is from RefSeq and is a predicted model, not a curated record.